ACAACACCCGGUGGGCAGAAAGUUGAUGUUAAGGUUCCUUUAGAAGAAAAAGACUGCAGUUUUGCUCGAGUCCACUUGUCUUGUAUUUGAACUUCUAAAUUAUGACAACAAAGUUCAGAAUUUUUUUUCAGAUUUAUCCAGAUUGUUGUUUCCCUUUCACCUUUUUACCACGUCUUGACUUACAGGUUUUUUUUCGAGAAUGUCUUGACUUACAGGUUCAACAUGACCACUUAGCAUAUACUUCUGUAAGAGAAAACGCCACUGGGGAUUUAUCAGUGAAUGCUCUUCAUUAUAUCUUCUCUACAUUUGACUACAGAUGCAUGUAGCAGUUCCAUGGUCCUGCUCCGCUUCUCGCUCGGUGGUUUAAUCUUGAGUUCCUCAUGUGGUUCUCACAUGAGAUAGGAUGAUCUUCCCUGAACUUGAAGUCUCAGAACCUAUUCAUCAGCUAAAUCUCUCACAUAGGAUGAGAUUCGCACUUUGAUGCUGAUGCGGCAAUAGUGAGAGUGCGAGAGUAUUACUGGAGCAAAUAUCAUGCCUGCCCAAGUACAAGGAAAACGAAGCUCAAGAUUGAAAAGAAUGCUGCUGCCGGGAGCUGUAAGAUUUUUUUAACAAAAGAUAAAGACAUGAAUCAUGUGAAGAAA
Molecule: long non-coding RNA, 641 nt
Organism: Lolium rigidum
Lineage: Eukaryota; Viridiplantae; Streptophyta; Magnoliopsida; Poales; Poaceae
Exons: 3
Source: RefSeq, a predicted model, not a curated record